This 2673-nucleotide long non-coding RNA is filed under the name Sus scrofa (pig). RNAcentral's name for it is "lncRNA (ENSSSCG00000054147.1)". Lineage: Eukaryota; Metazoa; Chordata; Mammalia; Artiodactyla; Suidae. The record is from RNAcentral.
CUGCAGCAUAUGGAAGUUCCCUGGCCAGGGGUCUAAUCGGAGCUGCAGGUGAGGUCUACGCAAGAGCCACGGCAACACUGGAUCCAAGCCACAUUUGCGACCUACACUGCAGCUUGUGGCAACACCAGAUCCUUAACCCACCGAGGGAGGCCAGGGAUCAAACCCACAUCCUCAGAGACAACGUCAGGUCUUUAACCUGCUGCAUCACAAAGGGAAUUCCAGUACUAUUUUCCAAAUAGGUGAAACAAGAUGAAGCAUGUCAAGCAUUUAGUAGGUGCUCAAUAAACAUUAAAACGUAUCUUAGUUGUUAUCACUUAUCUGCCCAGGUGGUAACAUUUUGGAUGAUAUUUAUUUAUUUAUUUAUGCUGUGUUCUUGCAAGGAUUCUAUCUUGUUUGGCCAAGAAGAACCACCCAAAGAAUUAUAUUUAGUACUCAGCCAUCCUUCUCUAGUAUGAGCUUGGCUCUCAGAUAGAAGGGAAACCCAGCUGGGGUCCUGACCCCUUCCAGCCACCUACCCUACCCCCCACCCCCCUUGCGCAUUCUAGAACCUGAGAUUUUCCAGGAUCAUUCUGCCUUGGGAAGCGCUGCUAAAGGAAACCUCCACCCUACCCCAAAAGCAGUAGUAUAUGAAGAUUCCAGAGCAUUCCAACCAGAGCCCGAGUCAGCCUCACAUAAGACUGGUUGCCCUCCCAUCACUCGGCCUCCAUGAUCCACCCCCUAAAAAUAGUUUCUGGGUACAAAUUUAGUACCACACCCCACAACAGCAGCCAGACUCAUCACACCCCAAUUUGGGAGAGCCAUUUAGAGAGAUACGAUGCUGUGGGUACUACAUGCAAUCUGGAGGAUCCAGGGGGACCCCCAAGACAUAGCAGUCAUCCUUCAGAGCAGCUAAGGUGGCUGCACAGGGCCUGGCGGAUGCCAGUGAGGGGCAAGCUGGCCUGGCACUGAGGUGUCAUGGACAAUGAGAGCAUGGUUUUCAAGAUCAGCCCCAGGAAGUUCCCAUCAUGGUUCAGCAGUAACAAACCUGACUAGUAUCCCUGAGGAUGUGGGUACAAUUCCUGGUCUCGUUCAGUGAGUUAAGGAUCCGGCAUUGCCAUGAGCUAUGGUGUAGGUGGCAGAUGCGGCUGUGGUAUAGGCCAGCAGCUGUAGCUCGGAUUCAACCCCUAGCCUGUGAAUUUCCAUAUGCCAUGGGUUCUGCCCUAAAAUGCCAAAAAGAAAAAAAAAAAUCAGCCUCAGAAGAAGGUUCUCAGGGUCAGACACUCCAAAUUACAGACGUUGAGGUGGUGAGGGAGUUGCCUCUCACAGGACAGCUGCAUACAGCACCAGCGGAACUUAUAAUAACUACUACCAUGGCUUCCUUUAAUUGAUCGCUUACUGUAUACUGAGUGUUUUCUCACAUGCUCGAAGGUGUGAGGCCAUGGUUAAACACACUCGUAAGCAGUGUGAAAGCAGACGGCAAGACAAUGGUAUUAACAGCAACAACCAAUUCGUGACUGUGAAACACACAACAAAUACUUAGCAUAGCAUUUGGCUCAGUCUGUGUUGUCUGAAAUGCACUAGGUUAUGAAGAGAGAUGGGGGGGUGCUGAACUCAUAGGUGGUGGCAGAGCUGGUGAAGCACAGCACUGCCUGCCCCCCAUGGAAGUCGCCAACCCCACCCUCACUUCUUUUUACUUUAUUUUUUUCUUUUGUCCUUUUAGGGCUGUACCUGUGGCAUAUGGAUGUUCCCAGGCUAGGGGUUGAAUCAGAGGUACAGCUGCCAGCCUAGGCCACAGCCACAGCAACGCCAGAUCUGAGCCGUGUCUGCAACCUACACUAUAGCUCAUGGCAACACUGGAUCCUUAACCCACUGAGCGAGGCAAGGGAUCGAACCCGAAACCACAUGGUUCCUGGUAGGAUUUGUUUCCACUGCACCACGACAGGAACUCCAUUUUUUUUUUUUUUUUUUUUUCUGAAAACCAGGCUCCGUUAACUGCCCUGCCUGAUGGCUCCCCACACUCCUUCCCUCACUCUGGCCCUCUGGGUCCCCACUGGUGUCAGGUGCCUUCCUAGUUACAGGCCUGUGUAGAGGUGGCCGGCUGCCUGUGUCCCUCUCCCCAGGGGUGGCUGAGCCCAUCCUUCUGACGCUACUGCUGCCAAGGGAGGAGGAAGAGGACUCUCGAUGCGCUUGUUCACAGGGGCCACCUUCAGCCCGCUGGGACCGGCCAGCGGCUUUCAUCUGGAUGGACGCCCGGGCCUCAGUGAGGACAGGAAGCAUCCCUGAGCGAUAAAGAUCAGGGCCGGCUUGUGAACAUGCCCGGUGCUUGAUGUGGGCCAAACCAGCUGCCCAACCCCUGUUCCUGGCAGUCCCUGCCAUGAAUCCUGCCUGGAGGAGUGGAAACUAAUCCAACUAGUAUCCAUGAGGUUGAGGGUUUGCUCCCUCGCCUCCUUCAGUGGGUUAAGGAUCCGGCCUUGCCAAGAGCUGUGGUGUAGGUCACAGACGCGGCUUGGAUCUGGAGUUGCUGUGGCUGUGGCGUAGGCUAGUAGCUACAGCUACAGCUUGACCCCUAACCUGGGAACCUGCAUUGCUGUGGGUGAGGUAUAGGCUGGCAGCUGUAGCUCUGAUUAGACCCCUAGCCUGGGAACCUCCAAAUGCCACAGGUACGGCCCUGAAAAAAAAAAAAAAAAAAAAAAA